RNAcentral lists this long non-coding RNA (30277 nucleotides) under Linum usitatissimum (flax). Its description in RNAcentral is "long non-coding RNA (LUSI_LNC004314)". The record is from RNAcentral. Lineage: Eukaryota; Viridiplantae; Streptophyta; Magnoliopsida; Malpighiales; Linaceae.
UUUUUUUUUGUUAUCUCAGAUCUACUCAAUAAAAGCCUCGAUCAGUACGUAGCUAACAUGUUAGGAAAAAAAACAGGUUUCCGACGAUCCUGGUGAAAGGACCGUUCGGAGCCCCGGCCCAGAACUACAACAAGUACGACAUAUUGUUGCUGGUUGGACUAGGAAUUGGAGCCACUCCUAUGGUUAGCAUUUUAAAGGAUCUCCUGAAUGGGCUCAAACCAAUGAAGCCAGUAAGCCAAUCGAAUCUAGCUAGAUUUUUAAAAUCGAGAAAUAAAAUAAACAGAUGGUAAAAAUUGGAAAUUGCAGGGAGAAUUUUCAGUGGAGGCGGCAACGAAGAAGUACCCAGAGAGAGCCUACUUCUACUGGGUUACAAGAGAACAAGCAUCCUUCGAAUGGUUUAAAGGAGUCAUGGACGACAUUGCCGAGUAUGACCGAAAUGUGAGCUUGCUUACGCUUUCUUUCUUCUUCUUUCUCUGUUUCAAUUUCCGCGAGUCUACUAAUAUGAAGAAAAGAAAAAAUUCCUUGACAACAACAGCAUAUAAUCGAGAUGCACAAUUACUUGACAAGCGUGUACGAGGAAGGAGACGCUAGGUCAGCACUCAUUGCCAUGGUCCAGAAGCUUCAGCACGCCAAGAAUGGUGUCGAUAUCGUCUCCCAGAGCCGAGUACGUACUAACUAGGCGCAUGCAUGCAUGCAUGCAGUGGACAUUCAUCUGGUUGAAUUAAUCAAGCUAUUUUAUUUUAUUAUGAAUUAAAAAUCCAAUUUGCAGAUAAGGACACACUUUGCAAGACCCAACUGGAAAAGGGUUUUCUCUGAGCUGGAGAAGGCGCAUCCGUCUUCUCAUAUCGGUACGUAUACUAUUGCAGUGUAAAGAAAAAGGAAUUAAUUGUGUUUAUGAUUAAUUAAUUAAUUGAAUUGGGUGCAUGCAUGGAUGGAUGCAGGGGUGUUCUACUGUGGUAGUGUAGCGCUAGUGAAGACAUUAAGGGAGCUGUGCCAGGACUUUAGUCUCAAUUCAACUACCAGGUUCCAUUUUCACAAGGAGAACUUCUGAAGCAUCAUUUCUGCAUGCUGGGACUGGGAUCCAUCGUGUUUAUCUUUUGUCUUUGUCUUUUGCCUGUUUCUCCUCAUUUUUGUUUAAUCGGUCGUUUUGGAUCAUUAGAAAAAAUUGGUGUAUGCAUAGUUGUACGUAAUCAAAAAAAGAGAAUUAUAGAAUUUAUAUGUGCAGGCUCAGUAAGUCAUUAGUUAAGACUUAAUUAAGAAGGCUGGCCUGACUAUAAAUAUUUGUAUAUAGCCUACAUUUUGGUUACCAAAAAUCACAAACAAAAUGGUAGUUUUUCUUUAAUCUCCAGGAAAUUUGUUCCUUGAUCAAAGCCAACAAUAUUUCAGCCAUUGGUUAUUUAACCCUCGGAUCCAAUGGCUCCGAGUUAAUGGUGAAAAAUGUGUAAUUUUAAUAACAUCUUUUUAUCAAUGAGAUUUUCUCCACUCGCAAAGUGACACAGAGCUCAUGUGAUACUUUUGUAAUUUAAAUAAUAAUAUUAUUGAUAGGAGAGGGAUGUUUACAAGUAUAAAUUUAUACUUGUUGCAAGUUAAAAUAAUAAUCUUAUUUGGGACCAAUUUUUUCACAUUUAUUUAAUUAUUUGAAACCAAAUUUUCACAUAUACAUUUUUGUUGUUAAUAAAAUAAUAUAUAUAAUAUGAAUAAGAUAUAAAUAUUUCACUCGUGUAGGUCCACUUUUACAAUUAUUUUUGGAUUGCAUUGGAAAUGUUAUGGAACUUAAUAAUACAAAAUUACAAAACAAAAUAAGGUGAAAGUAGGCUUGACACCCAUGAGUGAAUAACGGUACCCCAGCUGAAUCGGUCCAGUCAACGUGGGUAAUAAUCGUUUUGACCCCGCCCCGGGUCGAAUCCGGGAAAAUCCAAUCCGUUAUCUUUUAUCCAACAGAUCGGGGACGGUAUUGCAACUGUCCGCCCCGCACAAAAUCCCCGAUCCGGCUGUUUAGUGAAAUCGAUGCCGUAUAUGUUGGUCAUUAGUUAUCGUUGCUGGCUUGUUAGAUAAUAAGCAUUCAUUUCAUGCUUUGUUUCCUUCUUUCCCAUGGUCACCUGGCACCCAAUACCAACCGCACAACACCAGAAGGAAAGCUAAAAACAGCACCCAAAACACAGAUACAAUCCAAAACAAGACUCAACCGGGGUCAAAAAUAAGCUGCGUCCAAAGUCAAUAUCUGUCGCCAUUGGAAAAACCUUCCGCAAGUAACCAUGAGCCAACAUUCAUCAUGAUUCUAGCAGCCACAACAGUUUAUGCUUUCUCUUUUCCGUUGAAAAUCCUCUCAUUUCUCUCGAGCCAAAUGUACCACAAGGUCGCGUGUAAGAUGAACUUCAUUCCGUCGUGAUAGGAGGGCUGGCAGUUCAAACUCUUCCACGACGCAAAGACCUCCUGAAUGUGAGUUUGUAAUGGGCCGAAUAUGGACAAAGUUGAGCUAAUAUCAUUCCACGAUGACGCAGAGAAAGCACAUUCCGAAAAAAGAUGAUCCACUAUUUCAACUUGGGACUUGCAAAACACACACAUAUAUUCGGCAAAUUAAAACCUCUCCUUUGGAGGUUAUCUUGGGUAGCAAUUUUCUUGUGAUACACACACCAACAAAAGCUCUGAAUCUUGAUAGGGACUCCGGCCAUCCAAAUCGUGGUAGUAGGAAAAUGGUUUAGACCCAGGAACUUUCCAGCAAUCAACUCAUUCCGCAAUGACCUGACAGAGAAAACACCACUCCUCUCCAUUGACCAAAUAAGAGCAUCGGGACCAGCAGUAAUAAACUCCAUCAAAAGGUUGUCCAAACAUUAUAGAAGAUGGUUUAAUUCGAUCAAAACGCCGCCUCUCAGAUUAGUGGUGAGAGAAAUGCUCCAUGAACGCCUACCAACAAGCACAAACAUGUCAGAAACACGAGAAUCCAAAGAUUGUGCAGCUGCAACAAUCCUUAGAUAAAAAUCACUCAACCUCACCCACGAAAUCCAAAGAUCGAACCAAAAAGUACUCAUCCCCCACCCUCUUGGAUCAAUAUAGCCGUACUUCCAAAAAAGAGAACAAGACGAAACCAAAAUUUUCCACAUAGAACAAUCGUUAGAACCUAACUCCCACAUUGGUCUCCACAUGGACGUGCCCACACCGCACUUGGCGACAAUCAGACCCCUCCAAGGCGUUUCUUUCGAUCGCAUAUCUCCAAAUCCACUUACAAAGCAAAGACGAGUUCAAAACUCUCAAAUCAAUAAUACCCAGACCACCACGGUCUAUGGGAGUUUAACUAUUUGUGAGUCGACCCAGUGAAUCAUAUCCUUAUCCACACUACUUGCCCGAAAGAAGCGAUUCUAAAUUCUUUCAAGUCUAGCAAUGACCUCAUCGAUUCAUACUUCUCCAACCCAUAAACCAAAGUAGCAAUUUUGGGCAUCCUACGAAGAAUCUAUUGUAGAUGAGUACUUUGGGAAAGUAAAACUCACUACGACCUACUCUUUUCUGCUAAUUGUGGACAUAAUUUGUAUCGCACUUAAAUUUUUUUAAUGAAAUGAAAUCUAAUUAUUCAUAACAAAAAAAUAGAAUGUGAUUCAACUUUCUUUUUUAAUUUCAAAUGUUAUUCUUGUUAUUUUCUUAUUUGUAAAGAGAAAAAUGUUAGAAUCAUCACCCUACAAAAAAAAUAUGUCUUUCGACAUAACAUAAACAUAACAUCCCCACACUUUGAAUCUAACAAGGUUGCUCUAAAUAAAUCUCAAAAGCACAACUCUAUGGCUUCAUAUGAGUUUAUCAUGUUGUCGUACCUGUUGUAAAAUUUUGGUGCAGCAUCCGGCAAUCCGCAUCUUGUUACAAUACAUUACUUGUGUUGAAACAUUUUUUCUGGACCAUUAAUAUUGCAAUCAAUAAGCCAAAGUUUGGUGUCUUUGGCAUCCACACACACCACUAAAACAGAUAUGGAUCUGUCUUCUACUACUUCAUUCCUCAAAUCUUUUUUUUUCAGUAAGUACUAUUCCUUUCGCUCUUCUCUUCACAUUUCUCUUCACCUUUCUCCUAGCUUUUUUCUUAACUCUUAUCUUCACUAUUCUUCACUUCUCUUUUAGAAUCUCGAAUAUCUUUUUCACACGAUCAUCCAUUUUAAAAGGAAAUUAUUUUUCAACUCUCAACACUUCAUCCAAAAAUCCAAAGCCAAAACUCCAAUUUCAUUAUAUACCAUGUGUGUCGUACCUGUUGUAUAAUAUUGGUACAACAUCCGAUAAUCCGCACCUUGCUACAACGCAUUACUUGUGUUGAUACAUUUUUUCUGGACCGCUAAUACUGUAAUCAAGAAGCCAAAGCUUGGUGUCUUUGGAAUCCACGCACACCACUAAAACUGAUAUUGCUCUGUUUUCUACUACUUCAUUUCUCAAAUCUUUUUUUUGGUAAGUACUAUUCCUUUCGCUUUUCUCUUCACAUUUCUCUUUACCUUUCUCCUAGCUUUUUUCUUUACUCUUGUCUUCACUAUCUUUCACUUCUCUUUUAGUAUCUCGAAUAUCUUUUUCACACGAUCAUCCAUUUUGAUUAUUUUUCAACUCUCAACACCUCAUCCAAAAAUCCAAAGCCAAAACUUCAAUUUCAUUAUAUACCAUAUGUGUUGUACAUGUUGUAUAAUUUUGGUGCAGCAUCCGGUAAUCCGCAUCUUGCUACAACGCAUUACUUGUGUUGAUACAUUUUUUCUGGACCGCUAAGACUGCAAUCAAGAAGCCAAAGCUUGGUGUCUUUGGAGUCCAUACACACCACUAAAACUGAUAUUGCUAUGUCUUCUACUAUUUCAUUCCUCAAAUCUUUUUUUUGUAAGUACUAUUCCUUUCGCUCUUCUCCUCACAUUUCUCUUCACCUUUCUCCUAGCUUUUUUCUUAACUCUUGUCUUCACUAUUCUUCACUUCUCUUUUAGUAUUUUGAAUAUCUUUUUCACACGAUCAUCCAUUUCAAAAGGGAAUUAUUUUUCAACUCUCAACACCUCAUUCAAAAAUUCAAAGUCAAAACUCCAAUUUCAUUAUAUACCUAUCAUAAAACCACUCUUCAAUAUCGCAAACUUUCUAUAAAUUUGAUAACAAAGCAUAUGAUUUUUUAAAAAUUUCUUGACAAUUUAUUUUUAGAAGGAUAUAUCCUUNNNNNNNNNNNNNNNNNNNNNNNNNNNNNNNNNNAUGAUAGAAUCAUCACCCUAAAAAAAAAAUAUUUUUGGACAAAACACAAAAAUAUAUUUUUGGAUGCUUUCCUCCUAUAUCACUUUAACAUUAAACCUCAACAUCCCUUCAUAGUAACAUUACAAGCAGAUAUCCAUAACGACUCUACAUCAGGGCACCACUCUACAUCACCCGACAUCUAUAUUGUUCAGAAAGUUACAAAUGAAUACAAGCACAUGCAGAAGAACAUGCGAAAUCCUACAUUUUUUAAGCAAUAGUAACUCUCAUCUACUAUUAUAUAUAGAAUACGUAUGUUUCUGCUCAACUCAUAGAUGAGGAAUAAACAUAACACAUGCAUUUUAAGCGGGAAAGUGAGAUGGUCUUCCCACCAAAAUAUCGAUACAACACUUAUUUACCCGAAUCCUUGUAAUCCUUCAGUCAGUCUGAAUCUCUACUUCCAUUGCUAGCUCCAGCAACUACACUACCAUUCCGAGUCCAAUCUUUUCCGUCUUGGCUCAGUUUUGAAACGAUGAACGAGCAUCUGAAGUACCCACCUUCCGUCAUCGAUCCCUCAAUAGAACUCAAGGAGGUAAUAUUCUAUUCUCUUUAAUUAAUCUGUGUUUGCUAGCAUUUUGCGACCUCACUCGCAUAAUUGCACCUGCUUAUAAAUGUGGGAAAGUGUAAUGUAUCGAUGGAAUCGACAUAGUCUCUGGCAAAUGAUUAUAGUGUUGGAUAAAUUAUUUAGACAAGAAAGGAAUUAAAUGAGAAGAAAAAUAGGAGAAAUAGAGAAGAUGCACAAGCCUUCAAUAGAGAGAAAAUUUGAAUUGUUGUUAAUUGAUUUUGAUACCUCUCCAUUACAAAAUGCUAGGCUUUAUAGCCAUUACUAAUAUGAAAUUGCAAAUAGAUCAUCCUACUUUCUAUUUAGUCUAUUUUUGAUCACUCCCAUUAGUUGGGUCAUUACAAUCCAUCCUCCUUAAAAACAGACGUAUCCUCAAGUCUAAUACAGAAACACAUAACAAAAGUUGGGCACUCAAAGUUGAAACAAUGGCUGCUGAAAUAAUUAUACUGGUAUGUUGCAAUUGAAUCCACUUGUGAACUUGUCCCUCAUUAGUCUUUUUUAUAUACUAUCCUUUCCAUUCUCCUUAAAAUUCGGCUUGUCCCCAAGCCGAUGUUCGAACAAAAGUAGCACACCAAGUUACCGUUGAAUAUCAACAAGCUCCCACAAUACAACAUCAAAUAAGUUACCUCAAGCAAUUUGAGUGUUAUUAACCAACAAAAUAAUCUCUUCCCCACUGUUGAUACAUCAAAAUCCUGUUAAGGCUCCUUGGGUUGAGAAAAUUACCUCUUCCAUGUGAAUCAAUAUUAUACCAACAAAAGAGACCAGACUUGAAUUCAAUACAAACAGCCAAGACCAAUUUUUUUACCCAUAUCCUACCUGUUGACCGCACCUGGAUUUGAUUCCCAUCAUCUAUGCCAUGAUCCAACUUGAUUCUAUGUGCCACCAUCUCACUCACGGGAAGGUCUAGGCCAAAAAGUUCAGCACACUGAAUCUCACCGUCAACAAUGCUAUUGCCAGUUUCAGCCGUGAUUGGAAGUAUGUGAAGGCUUGAGAUUGUGAAACUUCUAUUUGUAGGGAACAUAAAAAAGCAUCACAAUGAACGUAUAAUACCAAUAAAAUUAAUAUUUCCAUCUGACACAAGGUAUAUACCUUCAGAUUUCUUAGACACUUCAGUAACCUUAGGAACCACACCGUUAAACUCGUUGAAACAUCUCAGCUGCUCCUGACUCCAUAGUCUAAACCCAAAACUGCCUCUUUUAUAAGAAACAACAUCAUAACAACGAAAGCAAAGCUUGAAUGCCUCCGCAUGGUUGCUCAACAAUUCAUAGAGAUCAAACAUAGGAAACAACCCAUCACGUUCAAUAAGAGAAGAUGAAGAUUGUAAAUGCUGAAUGAAGCAAGGGUAGAUCAUCUCCAUCAAGAUACGCACCCUCUUCGACAAUGAACUUUGAACCAUACGUGCCAGCUCUUCCUGCAAUUUGCUCGACCUCUAGCGUUGUUAGAUCCCAUAUCUCGACACCAUUGCAAUUUUUCAUAGUUGCAGAGAUAAUCCUGGAGAUAUUCAAGUUCAGGUCCAUCCCAAUUGCAUCAGUUGCCACCUCCCUUGCCAAUAAUUCUCUGACCAGCCUCAACUACAGCUGUUGCAGCUCCUAUGCAAACUGAACAAUCGGUUGCUUCCAUUUCUUCACUCCCCGACCCCAAAUAUCAUUCAUUGGUCUAUAAUCAUGCGAAGGAGAUGCUAGUGGACCUGACAGUUUGAAAUGAAUGAGACUUCCAACACAUGAGCACAUUUGACAUGCACGUAAGCAAUAAUGUGCAAGGCUCAUCACCAAAUUUCCACUACUGUGAUCAAUGUCUAUUUUCUUCCUCACCCCACAAACGUUAAAUGAGCCAAGAUUUGUAUCAUGCAUCUCCCUUUCAGUGAGCUCCAUAUUACGACAAGGAAGUUGCAAAUCAUAAUUCCCAAGAAUCAAGGUUUGAAAAGAAAAUUCAUACUGCACUUGGUAAGCAGAUGCACCUUAAAUGCAUGCCAGUUGACAAUCAAAUUUUGGUACCUUCCAAAAGAAAUCAGUAGUGACAAUUUCCCUCCUUCAAAAGCUGAAUAUCCCAGCAACAGCAAACAAGAUUGUAUUCUACUCCAUAAUGACUAUAGAAUUUCCAUUUCUUCACAUCACGCCCAUAGAGUGUUACAACACAGCCUCCUAUAUUGAAUAUCAACUCACCACCAACCUUAAUCACUGAAGCACACAACAACUUUAAAUCUUCAAAUGAAGAAGAAAGUACCAGUGGAUGCACAUCCUCUGUAUGAGAAGGAUAAUUUGUCAUGGAUUAAGUGCUUGGUUGAGAUGGGAAAAUGAAUUCCACAAGUUGUGGACAUGUAUUGGCACAUCCAACAAGGGAAACAACCAAGGUUGGGGAAGUUGGAAAAGUUAGACUACGGUGGGGAUUUCUAUCGAACACCAGGUGGUGAAAUUUCGGUGGACUAGCUGUAGUAAUGGUGUUGGGAAUAGAAGACCCAAAUCGGCAUAACAUGGCAUGAGAAAACUCGACCCAUGGUAUUGGAAAUCGGCCAUUCUCCCAAUCGAGAAACCAGAAGUACGCCUCAUUCUCAAGAAACCAGCCGGCUUCAUCUACCAUCUCGUUAGCAGGGACUUCGGAGAUGCUGAAGUAUCAAACACAAGCUUCGAGCCAUGAAGACGGAUCAGAAUCACCAGAGAACAUGAGAGGUUCAAAAGAUGGAAGUGGGUUUUCAAUUGGAGUUGGUAGGGGACUUUCUUGGAGCACCUAGUGGGCAAUGUUCAAACUAUUUCCAGGAGAUGUGGAAGCAAAAUGCAACCCGUGAGAAUGGAAACCCAUUGCUGUCGUGGUCGCUACAGGUGUCAAAGAGGUUGUUUGUGGGGAUGGCAGCGGAGGAACCUCCCGCUUUCCACAUAACCGGUCCACCAUUUCCUCCAAUCUGGCCAUGGUCUGCUCAAAACUCUCCAUCUGAACUGUGGGAAGGGGAGCAAAAGUGGAAGUGUUAAUGCUGGUGACAAUGGAAAUAUUGUUCAUAGCAUUGAUACCUCUCUCCAUUACAAAUGUUAGGCUUUAUAGUCCUUACUAAUACGAAAUUGUAAAUAGAUCAUCUUACUUUUUACUUAGUUUAUUUUGGUCACUCCCAUUAGUUGGAUCAUUACAGAAAGGGCCUGGGUUUGCUGUUCCACCGUGUGCUUUGUUGCUUAAAACUUGAACAAGAAAGAUUCCACGAGGGUUUAAGAAGCCUGGGUUUAAGAAGUAAAUAUUGGGGAUUUAGGUUUUUAAAAGAAAUAGAGAGUGGUUUUGUUCGAUUUUGAUUAUCGUAGAAUUUUGAGGUGAGAUUUUAGGGUUACAAUUUGCACCCCAAUUUCAAAUUUAGGUACAAUCUCAAAUUCUAGCUACCUUAGUUUGCUAAUUAGCCGCUCACUCACAGUGCUACUUCUGUCUGCCUAUCUGUCUUUUUCCAUUCCAUCGCAGAAGCAAGAGAUUCGAAGAUGUUGUGGGUGGACAAGUACAGACCCAAAACCCUUGACCAAAUGAUCGUUCAUGAAGAUAUCGCCCAAAACCUAAAGAAAUUGGUAUUCCUUCACUCUAAUCAGACCCAGUUCUGUUACUCUUUCCCUCUUUUUUCAGGCUGGUCUCUUAUUCUUUCUAAUUACACUUUCUGAUUACUCUCCAGGUUGCUGAGCAGGAUUGCCCUCAUUUGCUUUUCUAUGGCCCUUCUGGUGCUGGGAAGAAGACACUGAUUAUGGCUUUGCUCCGUCAAAUAUUUGGCCCCGGUGCUGAAAAGGUCAGACCUUCCUCUGUUUCUUCUUCCUUUGUUUUUGUCUCUUCAUUCUUAAACUGAUUAUUCCAUGUGUAGACAGAUAUAAGAGAAGGAAAUAGUUCUCAGUGUAUUGGUUCUCCUAUUAUGCUAAUGCUUGCUGUUUUGAUGGCAGGUGAAGGUGGAAAACAGGACGUGGAAAGUUGAUGUAAGUUUUAACUUGUUUAUUUCUUCUUUUUUUUUGUUACAUGUAUGAUGCUCCCCUGGUUCUUUUGUUACUUGUAUGACGGUCGGUUGUAUUGCUUCUUGCUUAUCUGUGAUUGAAUAUUUUGGCCUUGAGCCUCUUGGCUUUCAUUCUUUAGUCUAAACCAUUGAAUCAGAACUUUAGUGUGCAAUAUGUUACUGAUAGUCGUCCAAUUCCUUUCUUUUCCAGAGAUGAGCUCCUUGCUAUUAGUUUUUUACCGCUGCAAUGUUUCCCUUAUCUAUGUUUAUGAUGUUUGAUCGGCUUUCCUCUGGUGCUUCAGGCUGGAAGUAGAACCAUUGAUCUUGAGUUGACUACAUUAGCCAGUGCAAACCAUGUGGAAUUAAGUCCUAGUGAUGCAGGCUUCCAGGAUAGAUAUAUUGUCCAGGAGAUAAUCAAAGAGAUGGCCAGGAAUAGGCCAAUUGACACAAAUGGAAAGAAAUCGUAUAAAGGUAGUUUCAGCCUACCUGUUUCCAUGCUUCCGAAAUGCAUUCUCUUUGCUAUUUUUUGUGCUUCCAGUUUAUCUUUCCCCUUCUGCAUUACCUAUUCGACUGUAUUUAAACGAGGUGACAAGUCUAUAAGUGACAUGAACUCAUUGGUUUGCGGAGCUGUUUAUCACACUCAACCACAUACAUUUGUCUGAGCAUUAUUUCGAGUAGGGUAUAUGUAGUUUGAUCAUUUUCAUUGGCCAAUAGGGUUGAUGUAUUUCUGUUUGUGCUGAGAUAUUUUCCUUGUCCAAUCUCAGUGAUAGUUCUUAAUGAGGUUGACAAGCUUUCAAGAGAAGCCCAGCAUUCUUUGCGAAGAACUAUGGAGAAAUAUAGUAGUUCAUGCCGGCUCAUUUUGUGCUGCAACAGUUCUUCAAAGGUUACUGAGGCCAUCCGGUCUCGUUGUCUGAAUGUUCGAAUUAAUGCACCUUCAGAGGAACAGGUAUCAGAUAUUUUCUUCUUCAUGUCCUUCAUUUUUUCUCUAUCAGAUAACCAUCUGUAAAUGGUGUUACUAGUUUUUUUUGCCCCUGCUACUUUGCCUAUUGUUUUACCUAUAGAUAGUUAGGGUUUUGGAGUUCAUUGGGAAGAAAGAAGGGUUGGACAUUCCAUCUGGAUUUGCUGGGCGUGUAGCUGAAAAAUCGAAUCGGAGUUUAAGGAGAGCCAUACUCUCAUUCGAGACUUGCCGGGUUCAACAGUUAAGCUCUACCAACAAUAAUAUAAUAAUACAAUUUGAUGUUUUUGAUAUCAUAAUAAUUACGUGGCUCAUUUUUUAGGUCCCCGCUCACAAGUAAUCAAGCAAUUCCUCCAAUGGACUGGGAAGAGUAUGUUUUUGAAAUAUCGUCUGACAUAAUGAAGGAGCAGAGUCCUAAAAGGUCUGUCCGCAAAUGAACAUUAUGACCAUAACUCGCAAACCAUUAACGUAUUCAUAGUUUUCUGAUCAAACGGCAUUUGGAUUUGAUAGAUUGUUUCAGGUUCGAGGGAAGCUGUAUGAAUUACUUAUCAACUGUAUUCCUCCCGAGAUAAUAUUGAAGGUAGAGAAGUCACUUGUAUAAUCUUUCUCUACUCAUCAUCAUUUUCAAUCCAGAUAACUAAUAUGCAUGCAUAUCCCUUUAAUCAGAGACUUCUUUAUGAGUUGUUGAGGAAAUUGGACGAGGAGUUAAAGCAUGAGGUUUGUCAUUGGGCUGCAUAUUAUGUAAGUUCCGAAGCAAUUUCUCCCCCAUUUUGUUUAGGCGAUGGUGUUGUCUUACAGUACAUGAAGCAUUUCUCCUGAUCCUGUGCUUUUGUAUGCUUUCGAUUCUUUCUGGAACAGGAACAUAGAAUGCGACAGGGGCAGAAAGCCAUAUUUCACCUGGAAGGUAUUGUCAGACACAAAUUUACAGUGUUGUUGAUUUUACUCAUUCAAAUUGUGUGUUUGUGGUCUCUGUUGGAUCGUAAGAAGUUUGUCAUGGAUUUGAAUGUAUGCAGCAUUCGUGGCGAAAUUCAUGAGCAUAUACAAGGCUUUCCUGGUAGCAACAUUCGGGUGAUACGUCAUCAGAGCGGAUUAUCCUUUUUCUGGGUGAAUGAACAGCAAUGUUACGGAAUUGCAGAUCAAGCGAGCCUUUGGGAGAAGGAUCUCUCACUGGUGUCAAAGUCGGAAUUUUCGUGCUGUAAUUUCUUCUGUAGUUUAUGGUUAUCAACCAACCGGUCUUGGAUUGCAACCGAGUAACUUAUUUGCAAGAUGCUCUACUUUUGGCUGACCAAACACACGGUUAAUCCAUUAUGAAUUGGAUGGUGUUGUGAUGAAUAUGCUUGGAGCUUUCCACACAUUUAGCUGGGAAGAAAUAGAUAACGCGUCACAAUGGACGAUAUGGAAUAAGCAAAAUGGUGGGUCGUAGCCCAUUGAAUAAACCAGUAGCUCUAUUCAGUGUGCCAGCUAAGAUAGAUUUAGAUGGAAUAACCCACAUUUAGGCAGGUUAUAUUUGUAUCUACAUCGGGUAAAUUCGUUUAAUUGUGCUAUAUUAAAUGAAUGCAUGAGAAGACUAAUAACCCUAGUGUGAAGCAGAGAUGUACAGCAACCACCAUUGCUGGUUUCUGAUUGUACAAGUUAAAAGGAACGAUAGAAGAAUGUAGAAUACAAUGGUGAAAUCCGGCACCCCAACUAACUUAUUUCCUUAUUUCCUCCACCCGACGACUUUUUUUGUUUUUCCUUUGGGCAUAUCAUGUUCAUCCGCAUUAUGGGACUUAAUCAAAUCCAAAAUAACAGAACAAGUAAGAGAAAAGUGUGAGAAAAUUCCUGGAAUAAGCUGUUGUGUGCUUCCAAAAUUUUGAAAUGAAAGUCUGGAAAAAGGAGCUAUUGUUCGUCUAUUGAUCUCGACAGGCCGGUGGAGAAAAGAAAACGCCAUAUGGUAGUAUGAUGGUGUGAAAUCAUAUACUUGUAUAUUUCAAAUAAAUUCAAAAUGUAAAAUAAAAAGCUUAAAGCCCUGAAAGGGAUGAGGUAGAGAAUCGAAAUGGUGGUGGGUUUUAAAAGCUGUGAUUAGCUGUCUCUUCUUGUCUUAUUAGCUGUCUUCCUCCUUUUUUCUGUACUAUUUCUUCUCCUUCUUCUUCUACCCUCUAUUUUCACCUCUCCGAUCCCAAAAACCCAUUUCUCCAAACAAGCUAAAGAUUCAACCUUUGAGUCUGGCCUCUGAGGAAAGACAGUGAAUGUCUCAUAUCAGAUGAAGAUGAAGACUACCCAUUUCUUCCCCCUUCUUCUUCUUCUUCUUCUCUUCAUCCUCUGCCUCUCUUCUUCCAGCCAUGGAUCUCUCACGGAAGCCGAGGUUUCCCACUUAACCACCCGCCAGCUUCUUUCUUCCAAGGAUGAUUCCGGCGAAAACAUCACUGUCCCUCCCGGUUUCGUCUUCGAAAACCUCAGGCUUCGCAAUGCUUACAUUGCAUUGCAGGCUUGGAAGGAGGCUAUCAUCUCUGACCCGUUCAAUAUCACUGGAAAUUGGGUGGGUUCCGAUGUCUGCAGCUACACUGGAGUGUUCUGUGCACCCGCACCGGACAACAAAACCAUCAGAACCGUCGCCGGAAUCGACCUCAACCACGCCGACAUCGCCGGCUACUUGCCGGAGGAACUUGGCCUACUCACCGAUUUAGCCUUCAUCCACAUCAAUUCCAACAGAUUCUGCGGAACUGUUCCUCGGAGCUUCAAAAAUUUCAGCCGGAUGUACGAGCUCGAUCUCAGCAACAAUCGAUUCGCCGGGAAAUUCCCCGCCGUCGUCCUCCGAUUGCGUAAGCUGAAAUUUUUGGAUAUCAGGUUUAACGAAUUCGAAGGCAGUGUCCCUAAGGAAUUGUUCGAUAAGGAUCUGGAUGCGAUUUUUAUCAACAACAAUCGAUUCCGCUUCGAGCUCCCAAAGAACUUCGGGAACUCGCCGGUUUCCGUGAUUGUAGCGGCGCAUAACGAUUUCCGUGGGUGUGUUCCUUCCAGCUUGGGGAAUAUGUCUAAUUUGAACGAGAUUGUACUGAUGAACAACGGCUUCAGGUCGUGCUUUCCGCCGGAGAUUGGCAGGCUGAGGAAUGUGACGGUGUUCGAUGUUAGCUUUAACCGGAUUUUAGGUCCGUUGCCGGGGAGUAUUGGGGGAAUGGUGAGCUUGGAGUGGCUGAAUGUGGCUCAUAAUUUGUUGUCUGGGAAGAUCCCAGCGGCGAUUUGUCAGCUUCCGCGGCUGCGGAAUUUUACCUUUUCUGAUAACUUCUUCACCGGCGAGCCGCCGCAGUGCUUGGCUUUGCCGACUGUUGAUGACAAGAGAAAUUGUUUGCCGAAUCGGCCGGAGCAGAGGUCUACUGGGCAAUGCCAAGCGUUUCUUUCCAAGCCGGUUAGGUGUAGUGCUUUUAGAUGUGCUCCGUUUAUUCCGUCUCCUACUCCGCCGCCACCUCCUCCAGUUUACUUGCCUCCGCCGUCGCCAGCUCCACCACCACCGUCGCCAANNNNNNNNNNNNNNNNNNNNNNNNNNNNNNNNNNNNNNNNNNNNNNNNNNNNNNNNNNNNNNNNNNNNNNNNNNNNNNNNNNNNNNNNNNNNNNNNNNNNNNNNNNNNNNNNNNNNNNNNNNNNNNNNNNNNNNNNNNNNNNNNNNNNNNNNNNNNNNNNNNNNNNNNNNNNNNNNNNNNNNNNNNNNNNNNNNNNNNNNNNNNNNNNNNNNNNNNNNNNNNNNNNNNNNNNNNNNNNNNNNNNNNNNNNNNNNNNNNNNNNNNNNNNNNNNNNNNNNNNNNNNNNNNNNNNNNNNNNNNNNNNNNNNNNNNNNNNNNNNNNNNNNNNNNNNNNNNNNNNNNNNNNNNNNNNNNNNNNNNNNNNNNNNNNNNNNNNNNNNNNNNNNNNNNNNNNNNNNNNNNNNNNNNNNNNNNNNNNNNNNNNNNNNNNNNCCCGCCACCGCCACCGUGUGUAGAAAACCCACCCCCACCGGCGGCAGAACCUUACAAACCACCACCGCCAGUCAUCCAUCCAUCUCCGCCGCCUCCCAUAUUUUAUCCAUCACCACCACCGCCAGCAAUUAAGUAUGCAAGUCCGCCACCCCCACCGCCUGAAUACAUGGGGCCAUUGCCACCAGUGACAGGAAUCCCAUACUCUUCACCUCCACCUCCGCCUUUCUCUUUGUUCUGUUCAAUAUGCAUUGUUCUAAAUUCGAAUUGUUAUCAUCAAUCGAGUCCAUAAAUAUAAUAUUUCAGAUAGAUCAGAGAGUUACUUUUAGAGAAUUGCAGGGGAAUGUUUUGUCUGUAUAGAAGUGAAGGGCCUAUUUUUAUUAUUUUUGUUUCCAUGUCAUAUCUUCUUCUCCUCUAGAUUUGUUUUCAAGGUUCUUUUUGUUAAGCAAUUUAUGAUUAUUUUAUAAUACAUACAAAAUUUUACUCGUAUUUUCAUUAUUCCCAGUAUUCAGAUCUCUGUUCGAAUAUUGAGUUCUUAACUACCAACUCCUUGAUGAUUCUGCGACACGCUCCUAAUAACCUUUUGGCCAAGGAACACGUCUUCAUCUUUUUUCCUGAGGAAUCAACCAAGAAAUCAAAAUGAUCCGAAUUUGCAAUUCAAAAGGUUGUAAAGCAAGCAGUAUUAAUGUGUCGAAAAGGUAAACUGACAGUCAUGAGCAAGCAAGAAAGGCCACAGCUUUAGCAAAUCCUCAACACAAUCCAAAUGCCAUCUUUUAACAAUAUCUUAUCUCAAAUGAUUAUUAUAUAUACAUACAAAACCGAAUUAAAGGGAUCGAUCGGCAGUCACAGUUCAAUCAUUAGUAAUUUUUUUUGCUUUCUGGAGACACAUGUUUGUUUUCCUGAAUGAAUCUAGACAAGAGUAUAUAUGCACAUUUGUCAAAUUGUGCUGUGACUAAUGAUAUCUUUCAUGCUUCAGUUCAGACAGCCACUGUCUUUCUGUCAAUUACGAUGCCAAACCACGAAGUGACCUUGAUUGAAUUUACAUUUGUUGAACUCAUGUAUUGUACUUUGUCGCUUGCCCGUCACAUUUGAUGGUGAACUGAUGGUUAUUCUAUUCAAUCUUUUAAAAGGGAAACGCUUUUUAUGUGCCAUAAAGUUCGAGAUGGAUAAGGCCUAAGGGUACCUUGGUAGCUGUCUUUAAGUAUAAAAUGAGUUUAUGGGAUGAGACUUGGCCAGUCCAGCUCGAUUGGUGGUCUAGCAGGCAUUUCGGUCUGGGAAAUCGAUAUGUUUUUGGAGUUAGUUCAUGGUUGCAUGUGCAAUCGUCCAAAUCCUAUACGUCUGGAAAUCUCUUCGACCGGUUCCUCGCAAUGCAUAUCAUAUAGGGUAGAGAGCGUCUGUACAUGUAUAUGAGCGGGAGACUGAGAAGUAUUGGGGGUGCCAUAGAAGCAGUAUAGAUCCUUAACUCUUUCCAGAGUAAGAUAGAGACAUAGGAAAAUCAACCUUAAACAAUAAACGAACCAAAUUUCCCAAUAGCAACUUAAGAUGCACUUGCUUCAGAUUCCCCAGCUGAAAGAACUGUUCUUGGAGGAAGACAGUGGACUGAAAUCAACAAAACCCAAAAGCUUGAACGAACAAAAGGCAAAAUCCAGAGAUUUGAGCAAUGGCUUCCAAUUCCGAAGAUGCUAUGAUUCUCUUUAAAAUCCUCAACACAUUUUCCAGUUUUAACACAACCAUUCUUCUUCCCCUUUUGUCUCUCUGCCUAACAUAACAUCCUAAUGAUGAUCUUGAUGCGCUUUUUCUUCAAUACCGUUCCCACUUUCAGCUUCAUCAUUCUCGCCCACGUCAUCACCUUCUUCAUCACUCACCUCCUCAUCAACUUCUUCAUUUCCGCCAUCAUCUCCAUCGAGGUCCCCAACACUUGGAAUACGACCUCCUGCUGCUUUGGCAGCAUACCCUUCAAGUGAUGCACUAGGAAACAGAUCCCCAACUUUCUUUCCAUCUGUGGUUGCCGGCUUCUCUGAAGUUUUGUUGUUGCUUAUACCUUUGUUCAUCUGAUGCAAAUUGAAACAUAGUAUACAGGGGUAGGCAGAAAAUCAAGCAAAAACCAACCCCGAAUGAUAAAUACUUGAUCAUCCAAUAGUAACGUAUAGAACUAGCAGCCGUUUGAAUGAGGUAUUUUAGACCAAAAUGAUGUGUUUUUUGAGAAUGUAGUAUUUAUGAGGUGCAAAGGACUUGUGAUGGGAGAAUUAUCUUGUUUGGUUAAUCAGUUAUUCAAUGUGGUUGGUAACGAAAAUGAUACAUUCUCGAAAUACCGCAAUAUUUCAAAUACCUAGGGGAUGGGAAGGUAUUUGAAGUUAUUUCAAAUACCACCGUCUAAAUUGCUAUAUAUUUUGUUUUGGUUAUCAAAUGAGUUAUUUUAAUGAGAUAUUUGAAAUAGCUCGAAAGUAAAUUAUUGCAAAGACCGUAGUUUGAAAUACCACAUAUUUUGUGUUGUAUGUCAAACGAGUUAUUUUAACCCAAAUAACUCAAAUGAGUUAUUUGCCAAAAUGUCUCAUCCAAGUACCUCAUCCAAGACCCCUAAUGUAUAUAGCAGCUCAAACUUGAAUGGAUUAGUGACAUCAUCGUCUAGAACCCAAAAGCUACUGUGUGAGAGCCACUUGCUGCUAACUCGAUAAGUAACGUUGACAUCCAGAUCGAUUGCCGAACACAAAAUCUAACAGAUGAUAAUAUUCAGAAUUCACUGAAGACUACGAGUAUCAAGGAAUCUCUAGGAUACUGACAGAUAAUUCGAUAUCUUUUUUCAGCAUUGUCAAAGAAAUAACUAAUAAGUAGAUUAACAUGCGGUAGAACAUACGACCAUCUUAGAGAUAGACCAUACAAGAAGAUUUUCCCUACAUCUUCGAUGGCAACUUUUAUUUUCUCGGAUUCCUAUUAAGUUCUAAUUCUUCUUUUAAUUACCCUGAUUUCAAAUUUUCCUUCUAAAACGAAGCUUUGGGUACACAAAAAGAAACGCUGCAGAGGAUUCUACUAAGAAUCCAAAUUCUCACUACUAGAAAACUCUGUGUUCUGCUCUACUAGCUCUCCAAGAUCCAUCUUUUCUCUUCAAAAAGUAAACUCUCCAAGACCUCUUAUAAACAUGAAAAGAACACAAGUCACAAGGUGCAGAAUCAAUAUAAACUUACUGAGCGCAGGAGGGUCCUCCGAUCUCUUUCUCGAGCAUUUUUAAUGGCCUACAACAAAACAAACGGUAUACUUAUAUAAAAAAAUGACAAGCAUUUUAAGUUUUUAAUGAAAAUCACGGCCAAAUUAAACAACAUACAUCCUCCAGGGUCUUCUGCUCAGCCUCUACUUCAGCAGCAUCCCUGGAAGCACAAACAACACAAGUCUCUCUCACGAUUAGAAUAUAAAGGAAACAUAUGGCUAAAUCCAUAUCCUUUUAACCAAAGAAACAGUAAGCCGGACCUUCCAACAAUGUGGUCCACACGGCAUCGACACUUUGCACAAACCUUUUGCUCCUUUGCGCAACCUAAACAGAACAGUUGCAGGAAAAGCAGUGUUACCAUCAGCAACUAAGUGAUCAACAAGGUAGAAAGCUGAACCCUUUCAAAAAUUAUAAAAUAGCGAAAGUGUGGAAGGAAGUGUACCAGAGCAUAAAUUAUGGUAGGCAUGUCGGACUGCACGUUUGGAACAUUGUUGGCUGCAAAUACGUUAAUAUCCCAUUACUCAAAAUUCUAUCGACUAUAUUGAAACACAAACUACAAGAUGACGUAGAACUCGAUCAACCAUUUUGCAGGCUCGAUGAGAGUCUUGUACUUCCCAUAGCGGCGCUUCCAGUCGAUCUGCUCUUUACAUCUUUGGCACACUCCCGUAAUCGCUGGCAAUGGCCUAAACCUCCCACCCACCUCCUAAUAUUCCAAUUAGAGUUUGAGAAAGUGAGUUGACAUUGUGAAGUUCCACAUGGUCAAAGGGUAGAGCAUAAAUAGAGAAAAGGCACUCUAUCUCUGGUAAGGAAUUACCGUUUCAUUGAUCUUGAUACCGGCCUUGGGCUUCCAGGCAAAUAGAUUUUGGUGCUUUGGGGGGCCGCUUCGACUGCUCAUCUCUUUCUACCUAUUCCCUAUUGACAAAAUGUUUGGGUACCUCAAUAUUUCAAGCAGCUGACCUAAGCUGUAGACUGAAGAAUCGUUUUAAUUAACAACUCAAAACUCAAAGACUACUGAAGCAAGUAUCAAUCCAAAUAAUGCCAGAAAAAUCAUCAGUUCAACUGGAAAGCAUAAUCUCUUCGACUAAAACACAAACUUCAAAGAACAAAACUUUUCACCAAACCCAGAAAAUGAACACAAUGGCCUGCCUAGAAAGGGUUCCAAUGGAACUAAUGGCCUGCCUAGAAAAUGGAACUAAUGAACUAAUGGCCUGCCUAGAAAGGGUUCCAAUGGAACUAAUGGCCUGCCUAGAAAAUUCCAUAAGCAAUAUCAGAGGAAAAUCCGUCUGAAGAUGAAUCGUAAUUCGGUGUAAGAACUCGUUGAGGAAAGUAACCUGUUUUUUAUAAGGAUUUCGAAAGGUCACCGGAACAAAAGCUACGUCGCGGCAGGCGGCGUGAUCAGGAAUGAGAAUACGGGAGGGUUUUUCAGGGCUAAUCUGAUUGAACUAUGAAUGUGAAGUGUUAACACAGUCAUGAAACUACAAACCCUAGUUUCAGGGCUUAAUAUCAAUCGACCUCAUCCACCUAUCAGGUUUGUAACACGGUGGUCAUCCAUCUAUAAAAAAUAGCCUAUAUACCACCAAUCUAUUUUCAUAUUAAUCAAUUGGUUACAUCCUUGCCAUAUCAUUUUUUUAGAAAUAAUAAUGUCAGGAGGCCCAACAUAUUAAGUUUUACCUCAGAAUGAUAUAACGUAUUAAAAAUGUCUAUUGUAACAUAUAUUUAAAAUUUGAUCAUAAAUUUAACGAUUAAAUUUAACAUCGUUGAUUUUUCACUUAACUUCCACUCCGCAUUAGAUAAUAAUAAUAUUUUAAUUAAAAAACUCUUAAUUAAUUCAAAAAAAAUCCCCAAGGAAGAAGACAACCGAAGCUUGUUUCCGCCUUCCGCUCCUCCUGACAAUGGAUUAGAAAAAAUUUAGUUAAAUUUUCUAUGUAAACAUGUUUAAAUGUAUGAUUUUUUAGAACUGUUGGCGACAGAACACCCAUAAAGAAGGUCAACAAUAGAAAUACCUAGCAAACCACCAAUAAAAACUUCUUCAUCAUCGCCACUUAUACCUUUAGCAGCUGAACAGACUUACUGGAAAGACCUUCUUGAUGACUUCCUCAAAUGAGGAAUCCAAGGAGACAUGGUUGCCGAUUUCUGUUUUGCUUGCAACAUUAAUUUUUUACUCUUAUGCGAUUACUCGCUACCCUCUUUUUUUGAGCUCGACGUGUCGUCGUUCUUUGUUCGUAUUUAAGGAGUGAUACCAAUUGCAAUAGCCAAGAAAGAUGGAUUAUUCUCUAGUAGCAUAUAUGAGUAUCAAAGUCUCUUUUCCGUCGUCGAUCAACUUCACAUUCGAUAUUGAUAAAAUCAUAUCCAAAAAUUUAAAAUAAAUAAGAUCCAAAAUUUACAAAUUUGGUCAUGUGUAUAGAUGAAUAAGAUUUUAGAUUUGGUAAAGAAGAGAUUUAAGAAAAGCAGUUGUUGGGUUUAACGAUGGAAAAUGGGGAUGAUAAGAAAAAAGGGGAGAUAGGAUGGCGGUGGCCUGGUGAGAGACGAAUACGAUGAACUUUAUUAUUUUUUAAAUUUUUUUAUUGAGUUUUGAAAAUUCAAUUAAAUAUUGUAUUUUGUAAAAUUAUAAUUAUGUUAUGCCAUGUCAGCUAAUCCAUAUUAGCUUUUAGUGUCAUGUGAAUUUUUAAAGUCCACGUUAGCGAAUGAAAUUUGACGGUUUUAGCGGAAAUUUAAAUUUCGUGUCACAAUAGACAUUUUCAAUAGGUUGCAUCAUUCUGGAUCAAGACUCAAUAGGUUAAGCCUAUUAAGAUCAUUAUUAAUUUUUUUACGAAUAAAUACUUCUGGAAGCCUAAUCUAUGAGAACUACAUUUUGUGGUAUAUAUUUCAGGCUCUGUCGUCUUUGUUAACUUAAAUUUGAAUUUGUAGCGUAUCCAAUGUGGCGGAUGGAUGGCUGACGUGGAGGACGGACAAAAAACAUGAGAUACAGUCAGCUUAGUCAACUCAAAUAAAAUAAAAUAAAAUUGUAAUUGGCUUUUCCACCGAGCGGAAUAUUCUAUUCUGCCGUUGCUCCGUCAAGUCUUUUUGAUGAAAACCAGCGCAAGCUUCUUCUCCAAAGUCUCUCUCUCCUAAGCUUCUUCUUUUUUUUCUCUCUCCCAAGCUUCUUCUUCCCCAAUUUUUUUAACUCUUCUCUCUCCCAAGAUUCUUAUUGAUGGCAAGGGAUCUUCCAUGCCAGAUUGGAGAGCUUCAAUCUCUUAGCGAGUUCCAGUAUCUCGUUGCAGGGUUCAAGGGAGAGAGAUGAAAAUGUCUCCUGGUUGACUGCCCAAUUGAAUAACGCGAGUGUCUGUUGGAAAGGGAUGACAUCGCGAUGACUCUCCGGAAAGAGAUAGCGUUGGGAGAAGCCGUGGGAGAUCAGAGAUGGGAUGGUGAAAUCGGGAAGGCAGUAGGCUUUGGAUUCGGGUUGUGGCGGUAAUGGCGUUUGAUUAAGGAAUAUAAUUUCUCUCGACCAUGCGGCGGCUUCUUCCGGUGGCAGUAUGGUGGAUGCGUGGUUGUCAGAGCCGUCGUUGGAGUUGGAUUCUUCACGCCCUGGAUGGUUGAUUGAUUGUGAGACCGAGGAAUAAGAGAAUGAGGAUUGAAGAAAGCAUUGUGAGGGACGAGGGAGGAAGUAUAGAAGACGACGGCGGAAGCGGAUUGCCGCAAUUAGAGACUGAGAGAUGAAAUUUAAUUUUUAUUUAUUUAUUUAUUUUUAUAUGUUUGCUUAUGUGGCGCUGAUUUGGGAUGAAGUUGCCCCGUCCAGUCAGCAUUAUUUCCUUCUGUCAUAAAAGAAGUUAAUUUUUUUGUCAUUUUAACGGGUAAGGUUAUGGAUGAACAAUUUUCGUUAAAAUUAGUUAAAAUUUGUUUUAUAAAUUGUAUUUUCCAUAAAUGGUGCCAUUUUUUAAAAACUGUUUAUAGAUUGGGCUUCGUAAAUUAUUUAUUCCUUUUUUUUACAUCAUCAUAGAAAACAUAUUAAAACAUCACUAAAGGUCAUACCAAGUUGGCCAUUGAAAGCACCACAAAUCAAGUGAUCUGCCAGCUCCUUUCCUCUCUUCGAGAGGUUUAUCUGUAGAUAGUCUGAAAGUUAAGUAACAGAGCUGCCCAUUCAGUAGCUCGCAUGGCUUUAAGAUAUCUCUAGUAAGUGUUACCGGUAGCCUUCAACUCUAGUAGUAAGUGUUACCGGUAGCCUUCACUCCUAGAGUUGAUGUUCAGAAAUUUUCUUACUCUAUGUGCUUGCUAUCUUCUUGUUUUUACAACGAGUCUAUCUAAGUAAAAAAAACAUGCAUCUCCCUUAAAAAAACAGGAAUCUCCAUUGUAAAAAAACAGGCAUCUCAACUCAACAAGUACAUUAUUCCAUAUACAUAAAAUGUUAGAUUCAGCCACAUAAAUGUUAUUCGGAGACGAGAUUCAACCCAAUCCGAACCUUUCGAGCUGCGGAGAUUGUAACUUAUGUUCACUUAUGUCAAUCUAAUCUCCAACUGCUUUGAUGAUGGACAUAGGGACACUUAGAAACUAAAAUCUAUCAUCGAUUCAAUUCCUCUUCUUUGAAUGGGAGAAAAGGUAACAAAUAGUGACGCAGACAGAUGACAACUGAGGGUUAUCCUUCACUAACUAAAACGCUAAGGUUCAAAUUCAAUGCCGACUAAUAAAUGUGGGAGAUUUAGACUACAUAGCGAAGGUUUGAGAUUAAACCACAAACCAUUGACUGCGCAGCUAGCCUGUGCCAUUCAUCACAUUCCUUUACCAGGAGCUGCAAGAAAGGAAUUGCCUGUACAGAGAGACUAGGAUGACUUGGACUGCAAGGUAACAAAAGAAUUGCCCCUUCUUAAGUAAGGCGAGGUGGGUUGUUUUUCUUAAUGCCAUAACUUGCUGCAGAACCCAUUCCUAGGCCUCUUGCUGGAUACGACAUCCGAGAACGAAUCAACCAACUGUUCGGCUAAGCUACCAUGGUCAUCAUUCAGAGUCCUAAUGAAAGUAUGCACCACUCUCCGCUCCUGUUCCGUUGAUCUCAAGCUAAACCACGUCAGCAAUUUCAGUCUGAAUUCCUGAUCGAUGUGACCUCCACAUUCCAGCAUUCGGAUCGUCUUCACACACGCGACGACCCGACAUUACAUUCAAAUCAAGCCCUUGUAAAGCAGUUGGCAAGUGAAUAUCAUCAUCUCGAGUCUCUGCUAUGGUUAAAGCAGCAUCACAACACUUGUCAGUGCCAGCACUACAGAAACCUUCUACGCCGGCUCGCUCUUGUGCCCACGCCAUACGUAUGAUUUUCCCAAGCUCCCGGACUCUGAAUCCGGAGAAUUCACUCCCUCUUUCGUUAGGAUGAUCAUCCGUCUUACCAUUUUCUACAACAGAAGAAGAACGAGGAUGCUUACGAAUAAUGUCAACACUUUUGGUGAAACACUUGGCCUCUGAAUGACCUAAAUCACCAGAAUCAGUGUAUGACAUAAUUCGAAAUGUAUACUCUGUGCAUGGCUGCAGAUUUGUUAUCAGAAUCCUCCUCUGAGUCUUUGGGAACACACUAACAGGUUCCUUUUGAGGCGUCUCUUCUCGACUCUUGCUAUACCACAGUUUGUAACCCUUAAUAUCAUCAGCAAACGAUGCAGCUGAUAUUUCGAUCAGAAUAAUAAUGACGGAGGAAGAUGUUACUUCUUCAAAGAAAAACCUGCAAGCUGCUGGCAGUGAGCCCUCUGGAAAAUAAGAAAGAAGUGAUUAUUAGGAUUUCCGUAUUGCGGAGUCUGCUGACAAUGCCCCGUGCCAAGUUGGCAGAAACACCGUUUAUCGAGCCAACCUCGGUCUCUAGCUUGGCUUUCGCAACUUUUAUGAAUUCGUGCAACUCUUUGAAUCUUGAAGUUCUGUCCAGUAAUCUAUAACUAAGGUCUAUUCUAUAGCAUAGCACAUCAACACGACGGGCAUCUUUAGCAAUACUCAGCUGCUUCUUCCAGGAUCUGCACGUAUGUAGACAAUUUGACGAUAACGCACCCUUUCUAUAUAGGAUUGCAAGAGAAACGAAAUGAAAAACAAAUACUUACUCUAGAAUGCCAGACACUUUACCACAAGAAGCGCAGCAAUAACUGCCAUCUAGCUGCAUGAGUUGCCCGAGAUCAACAACUCCAACCUUUUCAUGCUGGAAGGCACACUCAAUGUGACAAGAGAGCCCACAAGAAUCCUCAUCACUGGAUUCAGAUGUGCAGAACAACCACAGACUCGGGUCUUUAUUCUCGUCAAAGGAAUGACAGAUACAGCAAGAACAUCUCUUACAAAAUGAGUCCGCAGCAAGAACAUCUCUUGCAAAAUGAGUCCUCGAUGGAUAAGACAGCUCGGCAGGCAGAAUUUUUACAUAUCCACGAGUUUUCACUCCCAAAUUCCGGUGAUUCAUCAGAGGAAUGCACGAUCCGCGCAGGAUUAUCCCCCUUUCUUUUCUGCUUCUUUGAAGAAGACUGAUUAUUGGUGGCAGGAAUUUUCUUUGUUUCCUGCUUCUUGUUCGUUUUGUUACCCAACUGAAGUUCAGUCAUUUUGCCUUUGGAUGAUGCUGAUUGUUUAUUGUCCUUACCAAAGGAAGUACAGAGAAGGGCCUUUCUGGGACCAGAUUUCAGAAACUCUUGAAUUAGCUCUGAACUUCUUGAAGCCUCAUCGGAAUUAUUAUUUUUCUCUCGAGUGCUAUCACACUGGAAGAGAGGUUUUGAACACCAGAAACUGGAAUAAGACAAGGGGCUAAUUUAAGAAAUUGAAAUGCGCUCCAAAAUCUGUCAGAUUAAAAUGCAGAAAGUUCAUCUGCAACAAUUUUCUUUUGUAAGAUUCUCAGCCAUGCAAUAAAACGGAGAGAAUACGGAACCCAAAAACAACCAUUCAAAUAGAAAUCCAUGCAGACGAAGUAACCAAGACAUGACUAGGACAAAGUCAAAAACAUUUUGGUACUGCAGUCAGGAAAACACCUUCCAAUCAAAUUACAGAAGUUUGACAUAAAAGCAGAGAUCUGAAUGCCAGCUCCUAUUGGAAUCAUUCUUACAUCCGGCAGUUUUUGUAAACAACUUCGGUUUGAAAAGAUUUCCUUUUUUUAUCAGAUGCAGAUUCCGAACCAGGGAGCAUGUGAGCAAGAGAAAGUCAUCAGGAACACGGGCCAGGAAAGUGUUAUUCUUCACAAGAAACAAUCUUCAAUUUCAUCAACCUCAGCCUAUGAGCAACUUAGUAACCAUCGAUCGAUUACAAGCCAAACUCAAUUUUGAGAGGUCAGAGACAGACCAUACCUCUGCCGUGGAAUUUAUCAUCCAAGUCCAUUACUAUACAGAUCCGCCCAAUAGCUUUAGCUGCCCUACCUAUGACAAAGAUGCUAGAAAUGUCAGUAAAUUGACAUGGGAAUUCUUAUCCAGAAGCUCAAUCAAAAAUACGUUAACAUGCUACUCAAAUUUAUAGAAUCCAACCCAUUCGUGAGGGGAGACAAAGAAGGAUCGAGAUCAUCAGUUACCCACGUCUUCAAAGUAAGAGAUAAUUUUUAUGUAAGUUGAAUGCCGAAUGCAGAUACUGGUAAAGACAAAAAUGAACAAUGAAACGCACAAACUCCGUAGAGAAAGCAACAAAUUCUAAGAUUCAUACUUAAAAAAACAGUAGCCUAGCUGAACUGGGAACUUCCAGAGAAAGAACAAAAUAGAAGGCCUAGCGAACAAGAACAAAGAUUGGAGUAAACAAGCUCCAAUUGAGAUCAAGGGCAAAGAUAAUGAAGACAAUCAUCUAGAACCCUCGCACCAGUCCCCCUCUCGUCUCCAUUACUCCCAAAAAGAACCAUGUUUCCCUAUCUUCUUCAGAUUAUUUUUUACAAAAAAACCAAUAUAAUUUUAUAUUUUUAAACUCGACCUGCCAAAGCUAUGGAACAAAGUUCCACUACAUCUGAACUCUCGUACAUUGCGUAAAUUCAACGUGAAAAGCAAAUAAUUCACACACAAAAUUCAAAUAUACAAAUUGAAGCAGCUACGUAGAAGCAAAUACCGGAAAGGCAAAAGGAAAAAAGAAAAAUCCUCACGAAUUUCACAAAGCCAUGACGAUAGAAAGAAAAGCAGGCGCAAUAGUCCUGGAAACGUUAAUCGAGUCACAGCUGGUAACUGUAACGGAUCUGGGCACGUAAAAGCUUCCGGCAAAACGAGAAAAGAUAGAAAGUACAAGAGAAAGGAAGAAAAAACCAUGAGAGACGUACCAGCAGGAGCGAGUGGAUAAUAACAGAAGAAAAAUAAGCUCCUAGGGUUUGGAAUGGGACCAGCAAAAAGCCCAAGGACGAAGAAGAAGAAGUAGAAGAAGAAAUUUCUCUCUGUGAAAGAGGAGAAUCCAAAGAUGCAGAGAGGAGAGAGAGGAAUUAGCUUCCUGCUGCUAAUCUAUUGUUGCUCUGUUUGGCGAGAAAGAGAAAAUAAAAUAAAAAAGAAAUGCCGGUAACGAGAUGUGAGCGCGGAAGGGGAGGUGGUGGGGAAACUUUACGCGCGAGUGCCGGUGCGUAUAUUUGUUGGGCGAGUUGAAGUUACGUUGAGCACCGUCACGUGGUAUUAUUGGUACGUGAAAGUAACCCCAGGCUGCGCUAGCGCGUUAUUAUUUCUGCUUGUAUAUUUUUAUUUCAGGAUUUUCGGAAUCUUUUUACUUCCUGACUCUUUUCUUGCAAUUAAUUAUUUUCGCAGGGUGUUUUUUUAUACAAAAUAUUCAAAAUGUGAUAAGUUUAGGUAUAUAUCGAGAAAUGUUGCAACUUUUAUAUAGAUUUUUUGUCACCGAAUUUGAAGUUUCGGACGAACUAUGUCACGCUGUUAAUUUGUGCUUCACUCCGUCCACAAAAUUCGCCCUAGCCCGUACAUGUCAGAUUUGUACCGCUGAUGUGGCAUUCAAUUAUUUCUAAUUAAAACAGAUUUUAUUAACACAUUCUCCAUCUCCUCCAAACCAAAUUCCCUUUUCACCUUCUCGUCCCCCGCCUCUAUCGAAGGUAGACCGUUGUGACUGUGUGAUCGAAGAUAGCCUUGGAAUCUCGUGUACAUGUAGGCUUGAAUCUAUGGAAUGUGACAGGGUUUGGUUGAAAUCAUACCACCUCCACUAAUUUUUGCGAUCAUUGGAGUACACUAGCUUCUAAACAGUGAGAAGUGGGAAGAUCAUGACCGCGACAUUCUGAGCGGGAUGGUACAGACGAUUUGUGACAGCGGUGGGACUGCUAUACAGGCUUCCCGUAAAUUGGUUCAGUCGUAGUUCCAACCCGAAUCGGAGAAUGUGAAAGAGCCUAAAACGUCUGAGGCCCCAAAGGGUAGACCUCGUGCACGAAAGGCAGACGGCUGGAACCCUUCUUAGCACGAGCAUGCGAGUGCUCAUUGUACCCCGACCAAGGGCAAACCCAAGUCAGGUUCGCACGAUUUUAUACUACAUCACUGUCUUCAUCUUAUCGGUUGUGAUCACAAAAUAGCAUAACGUUACAGAUCAUUCAAACGCCUGUGAAGGGUACACCCACACCAAGCAUGUCGGGAGCCACUCCAGCAAGAUCCAUUCCAUGUAGAGGUGUGUAGCAGAUUCUUGAUCACGUCUAUGGAACUAUUGUACUAGAAUAAAAUCACCGUCCUAAUUAUUUAUUGCACCUCUAAAAUUUGAGUGCAACUCUUUAUCCAGUAUAUCCCCAUCGGACUCCGUGGACUGCUAAACAACGUGUUUGACGUUAUCGACGAUGGCCAUUGCGGGUUUAGAUGCGUGUCCCACUCAGUUCACGACUCGUGGAAAUGAGAUAGGAGCUUAUGGAUCAUGUUGUUUACUUGGCAAGUUGGUACCAUAUGGAGAAGAGUUGGAGACCAUUCUAGCAAGGUUAGGUUGGCUGAGCAAGGAACCAUGUGACGACCAAUGAUGGUUCUGGAACCUGGACCUGUUCGGAUUUGCCACUAUGCACAGUUGGACUUAUGUUGUGUUCGGCAUUGGGGGAUGGUCUCCCAUAUAAGGAGACAUUUCUUCUGUUGAGACUCCGGCGUGGGACACAGUCGUCAGAGAUGUGUGACGUACCUCGUGUGUACCAGUAAUCAUUGGGUGCGGUUAUAUUUGGAUGCUGACGACGUGGUGUUUUUAAUUUUGCAGCCGAACGCGUGGAAUUAUUGGGCCGAUGAAAGUGCAAAAGUGUGUGGGUGGGCAGUUUGUAUCAUGAUGAACGUGCAAAGUAUGAUAUGUUGGUUCCACCGCGUAAGUAGAUGACACUGUAAUCUCAUAUGUGUACUAAACGCUUGCAGUACGGUUUCCUAUUUGUUAAUCUAGCUCCAUUGACUCUUAAUUAUAUUUAAAUACCGUAACUCUUAAUUAUAUUUAAAUACCGUAACGUAAAAAAUGCAAACCAACAGGAAGGACGGGUCCAUUAGUCUUGUUCCGCCGGACGGAAAUCCCAUUCGUCCGGUUAGUUUUGACGGACGAAAAUUUCGUCUGUCUGGUUAGUUCUGUCCUAUUUUGGUUGUCGUACCUAGCUAUUCAUCCUUGUUAUAAUUAAUUACAUGUCAUUCAUACCUCGUUACAUAUAAGUCGUUAUACUCUGGUAUAGCGAUGUUAAACUCAUUAUAACUUGGUAUUCAUUAAAAACUUGUUACAACUUGUUAUAAGUAGGUAUUCAUUCAUGGUUUAACAGAAAACGUUUUUCAUGCAUAAUGUCAACCAUAACAGAAUCGCAUACUUAACAAAAUAGAGCAACAAAUAGAACAUAAUUGUAUGUCAUCUGCAACAGAGUCUCAUACAAAACAACAACAAAAUACAUGAACGUCUAAAACAUAACACUAACUGAGCAUAACGAACAUACCACUGUCUAGCGGUACGGUCCCUGCGCGUGGAAGUCCAUGUAGAGGUCCUCCAUGCUGGAACGCAGCUCCUCUAACUGUGUGAGUUACACACUGCCAGUCUCGAACUGGUGUGCAAGCAAACCGUUUAAGUAGGGGUGUAGAUGAUCUAACAUCCAGUAAGCCGACUGUACAAAGAAAAACAAAACUCAUUAAUCGUGUAUAAAGGUGCAAUAAUUAAUACAAUUCGAGAAUCACACUUACCAUAUAGGUCGACAAGCGAGCACCCCACUUACCAUAUCGAUCGACAAGCGAGCACCACUAAAAAUCGGGACUAAAAUGUGUGGGUGGUUGUGCCGUACCUACAACUCCAUAUAGCGCGGCUUGACAUCGACGUUGUCCUCCACACAUCGAAACAAAGUCUGAAGUGAGAUAAGUCGAACGUAUUUGGGGUCAGUCCAGGAAAAAUCCCGAGUUGGAUCCCACUCAACCACAUAUCCAUUAGCCUCAGCUAACCUAACAACCCUAAUGGGACGGACGAUAUGCGGAGGAAUCAUCUGCAUGUAGCCAAACUGUCUAACCACACUGGUGGGGUCGUAGUACUCGGGGGUAGUAGCGUAACAAAUCACCCCACGAAACACUGAAUCAGGAACCUCUAGCUCGGGCCAGUGACCGAAAGGCAGCCAAGUCACAUCAUGUGCGGUCAUAUCAUUGAGAAGAUGACGAUAACACUCUAACCUAUGGUUCUUGAACUUGUAUGGCCUCUCUAACUGCUCGCCACUACUCCACCUCCACCUAAAGCCUCACCCUCGCCCCGUUCCCGACACACUACUCUAGUAGAACGAGUACUAGAGAAAUGCUCGUGGAUCCAAGACUAAAGUAGUGUCGGACCGCCAACCAUCCCCUUGCACGAGGCAUGACUAGCCUUGUCGAGCUCGUGGUAUAACCAUGCUUGCGCGCCCUGGCCCCCAAGUGUACCGCAACAUCCCCCAUAAAGUACUCCCACAACACGAGACGAGUCUGAUCCACUUAAUUAUCUGUAAAUAAAGCAUAGAUCUCCCUUAAAAGAAAAUAGGCAUCUCAACUCAACAAGUGCAUUAUUCCAUAUACAAAAAAUGUUAGAUUGAGCCACAUAAAUGUUAUUACGGAGACGAGAUUCAACCCAAUCCGAACCUUUCGAGCUGUGGAGAUUGUAACUCAUGUUCACUUAUGUCAAUCUAAUCUCCAACUGCUUUGAUGAUGGACAUAGGGACACUUAGAAACUAAAAUCUAUCAUCGAUUCAAUUCCUCUUCUUUGAAUGGGAGAAAAGGUAACAAAUAGUGACGCAGACAGAUGACAACUGAGGGUUAUCCUUCACUAACUAAAACGCUAAGGUUCAAAUUCAAUGCCGACUAAUAAAUGUGGGAGAUUUAGACUACAUAGCGAAGGUUUGAGAUUAAACCACAAACCAUUGACUACGCAGUUAGCCUGUGCCAUUCAUCACAUUCCUUUACCAGGAGCUGCAAGAAAGGAAUUGCCUGUACCGAGAGACUAGGAUGACUUGGACUGCAAGGUAACAAAAGAAUUGCCCCUUCUUAAGUAAGGCGAGGUGGGUUGUUUUUCUUAAUGCCAUAACUUGCUGCAGAAUCCAUUCCUAGGCCUCUUGCUGGAUACGACAUCCGAGAACGAAUCAACCAACUGUUCGGCUAAGCUACCAUGGUCAUCAUUCAGAGUCC